Molecule: long non-coding RNA, 323 nt
Filed under: Gossypium barbadense (sea-island cotton)
Lineage: Eukaryota; Viridiplantae; Streptophyta; Magnoliopsida; Malvales; Malvaceae
Description: long non-coding RNA (GBAR_LNC006683)
Source: RNAcentral
GGAAGUGGGUCAAAAGAAUCUAAUGCCAACCAUCAUGUGUUUUUGGUGGAUUAGAUAGAAAGAAAGAAGUCAUUGAAUGGUAAGUGUAAAACACACUUACAUUAUAGUAGUCGCCAUUGACAUUGACUCUUAGUUUACGGAAAAAUCAAAUUAGAACAUGGGAAGUUUCAUGUUUGGUUCUAGAUGUACACUCGCACUCCCACCAACCUCCAACAAAUUACUUCUAAUGACUUUAAAGUCUGAAUUCCUUUUCCUUUUUCCUUCUGUUUUUCUGCGAGGUUGCCAAGACUUUAACCUAUACGAAGGGACAAAGUCAAGUAUCA